This 371-nucleotide ribosomal RNA is filed under the name uncultured organism. RNAcentral's name for it is "bacterial SSU rRNA". It matches the Rfam family "Bacterial small subunit ribosomal RNA", at positions 526 to 896 of the family's 1533-position model. The record is from RNAcentral.
CGGAGGGAGCUAGCGUUGUUCGGAAUUACUGGGCGUAAAGCGCGCGUAGGCGGCUUUGUAAGUUUGAGGUGAAAGCCCGGAGCUCAACUCCGGAACUGCCUUUAAAACUGCAUCGCUUGAAUCCGGGAGAGGUGAGUGGAAUUCCGAGUGUAGAGGUGAAAUUCGUAGAUAUUCGGAAGAACACCAGUGGCGAAGGCGGCUCACUGGACCGGUAUUGACGCUGAUGUGCGAAAGCGUGGGGAGCAAACAGGAUUAGAUACCCUGGUAGUCCACGCCGUAAACGAUGAUAACUAGCUGUCAGGGGCCAUGGGCUUUUGGUGGCGCAGCUAACGCAUUAAGUUAUCCGCCUGGGGAGUACGGCCGCAAGGUUA